AGAGCGAACGCUGGCGGCAGGCUUAACACAUGCAAGUCGAGCGGGCGUAGCAAUACGUCAGCGGCAGACGGGUGAGUAACGCGUGGGAACGUACCUUUUGGUUCGGAACAACCCAGGGAAACUUGGGCUAAUACCGGAUAAGCCCUUACGGGGAAAGAUUUAUCGCCGAAAGAUCGGCCCGCGUCUGAUUAGCUAGUUGGUGAGGUAAUGGCUCACCAAGGCGACGAUCAGUAGCUGGUCUGAGAGGAUGAUCAGCCACAUUGGGACUGAGACACGGCCCAAACUCCUACGGGAGGCAGCAGUGGGGAAUAUGGACAAUGGGCGCAAGCCUGAUCCGGCCAUGCCGCGUGAGUGAUGAAGGCCCUAGGGUUGUAAAGCUCUUUUGUGCGGGAAGAUAAUGACGGUACCGCAAGAAUAAGCCCCGGCUAACUUCGCGCCAGCAGCCGC
RNAcentral lists this ribosomal RNA (447 nucleotides) under uncultured bacterium. RNAcentral's name for it is "SSU rRNA". It matches the Rfam family "Bacterial small subunit ribosomal RNA", at positions 26 to 518 of the family's 1533-position model. The record is from RNAcentral.